Gasterosteus aculeatus aculeatus (three-spined stickleback) is the source of this 8393-nucleotide long non-coding RNA. Lineage: Eukaryota; Metazoa; Chordata; Actinopteri; Perciformes; Gasterosteidae. The record is from Ensembl.
UCAAAGAUUUAAAGAUUUGUGUGUAUUGAAAUUCUUGUGCUUGCCUUUUCGGGAAAGCCGACCAAUUUUAAAAUAAAAAUACAAUAUUUACAUAAAUGUACAUGAAAUAAAAUAUAAGUAAGACAGAGAUGAGUUAAGGGGAAAAGUGCAAAACUGAGCAGGUUGUAAAAAAAAACUUAAAUGAAAUGAGUGCAAUAUAAAUUGAUAAAAUAAUAUAUAAACAGUACAGUAACAGUAAGUGAAAUCCUAACAAGCUAAGGUGCAGACCAGUCGUGAGUCCUCUCAGCGGUUGAUGGCUCUAAUGGCAGUGGGGUAAAAAGAGUUUUUCAGUCUGGUGGUCCUGCAUUCGGCACUUCUACACCUCCUGCCUGAGGGUGGAAGCUCGCACAGUCCACGUUGGGGGUGGGUGGGGGUCUUUGAAACGGAGGCAGCUCUCCUGUGAACCCCGCGGUGGUAGAUGCUCUGCAGAGAGGAGCUCGCAGCUACUUUUAGCAUUUGAAGCCCCUGUCCGCCUCGAUGCCUCUCCCCCCCCCCCGUCAGCGUUUCCCCAGCCAAAGGUAGCUUCCCAACAAUGAGACGUGAACCAUGAAUUGCUUUUCAGCCGAGUCAAACUUCCCAGCCACCUAAUGGCCUCGUGUCAUGUUCACCACCAGUUCCAGCAGCAGCUCUCCUCCCUGCGCCGCUAAUUAGCAGGAAGCGGAGGCCCCACCACGUCCCCCCAGACUCCCCCCUUCACCAAUGAGAAUAACAGCCAGCGCGCCGCGGAAUGAAUUAUGGAUCCUUUAAAAAAAAAAAAAAAAUGUUUUCACUUUGAAGAAUCACGCGAGCACUUUUAACACGCGGAACGUUUUGGUGGCCAUUUAUAUGCACGUUUUUUUUUUUAAAAGCUGUUUCCAAUGCCGGCGGAGACGGAGUAAUGAGUGUACUCGCGGCGGCGUAAUGAGUCAGCCGAGCGUUUGGUUUCAACCAGAGCGCCACCCUGAACCGCUGCCCUGCUGUGUGUGUGUGUGUGUGUGUGUGUGUGUGUGGCAUCCAGCUCUCUCCCUUUAUCCCCAGCAGACUCCGGCUGGCCUUCCGAAGCCUUUCUGCACCGCUGAGAGCUGCCUCCGCUUUUCAAAAUUCAAGUGGGUGCCGCAAUAUCAACUUUGUAAAUACGGAGAAAUCCUUGAGACACUCUGCAGAAGCCGGGAUGAUUAAACGGUUGUUGGUUGGGUUUGAAACCAACAUUUUCUCUCGAUGAGAUUACAUGAAGCAGAAUUUCAUAUUCGUUUUAUUUCUUUCUCUCCGUAGGACGUGGAAGAUAUUCCUCCCCGGUGAAAAGCAAAGCACCACACACACUCCUGACCUCGAUAUAACAGCUUUCAUCUUCAGUGUGCUGAAGAGUUCACUCAGACGAGAUGAAGCCUUUCCGGAGCUGCAGAACAUUCACCCGGGUCGGCUCCUCAGAGAGAGAAACCCGACUGUUUCAGUCAACCUCCCAAAUUACGAAGGAAACCCAUUAACGAAUCCAAUAUCAUUGUGCUUUUAAUGUGCGACUUUGAAAAGCCAGCGAGAGCUAUUUACGUGCAUUUUUAAUUGGGUGGUAAAAAUGAGGGAGAAGGAAAGAAAACAGACGGCAGUGAACUCCACAUCGGAACGCAGAGGCCAUUUACAGCAAUUUAGUGUGGCGGGAAUCCAGCCGCCUCCCCGCAGAAGAUCCAGUGACAGUAAUGAAUCAUAGUUAAGAACACAGCGCUGUGUAAGCUCGCACUUUAUUAAACAGUCAGCAGCUCAUUGCUUUCGAUCCCUUGCAACGCCAUUGCAAUAUAUUAUAGUCCACCACAUCGACAGCUCCCCCCCUCGUCGCUUUAGAUGUGAUGUUUCUUUAGCUCGGAGGAACAACAACAACAACAACAAGCAAAGCGACCCGAGGAGCCCUCCUUUGGAGUGUGAGAACAACGACCUUGACUCCUGCUGUCUGCGUUCCGACGCCGGCGGCAGGGAUUUAAUCACUGCGUCCCUUUUCGUGCGCCAGACGGGUUCCCCUCUGACAUCGUGGUGGAGGACGAGAUAUAUGUUGGAUCGAGUUCUCGGGUUCUCGGGUUUCCGCUCAGCGGCAUCGCUUGUCACCACGUGGUUCUUCUACCUGGUCGGCUCCUCGUUGUGCUCGGGGGGCCGUGAGCCCUCGAACCUUGAACUUCCGUAAUGGCCGCGAGUCGUUCUUGGACGAUCCGCGCACGGAGCCGCGCGCCAUUUAAAGGACUUUUUAGGCUCCUUCAUGCGAUUCUGCACAAACGGCCGGUUUUGCUGCUGGCAGCAACCUGCUAAAUGAGAAUGAAUCUUGCAUUCUACUUGCAACCCAGAAGAAAGACCGUGUCCAGUGUCCCCGAGACCUGAUCUCCCACUGCGUCGUCCACGCACACUCGAUUUGUUCCCGUUAUGGGGUUUGUUCUACACACCUCGUACUCGCUUCCAAAUGCUUGCAUUGUUACUCUGGUUUGUCAGAGCUGUCACAUCGCCGGCGUGUGUGAAGCGGUUCAGACGCCUGCUGCUGCCACCAGCUGCCCGGCAGCCUUCCUGCAAGGCGAGCACACGCCGAGCUGCACGAUGAACGGUGAGGUUCCGCGCAUUGCAUAACAUGCCGGGCGCUUCGCCCCCCCCCACUUCGCUCAGCAGGAAGUCCUUCGGCUGGUGAUGUUCACGGCGGGGUAUCUGUGCGGCUCCAUGCUGGUCAAGGCUUCUCCUCUUGAUGCUGAUACUGUGUUAAAUAUACUCUAUAUAUAUAUUUCUGUUGGAAAGAAGAACCGUCCCUACUUUAUUAAAUGAAAACGUCAGCAUAAACAUAUGUUGGUUUAAAGGCCAGAGGCCCUGUAGCAUCCUGGGACAUCUUUUUGUGAUAUAAUUAGGUGUUAUUCUCCGGGUGUCAUGAGCUGAAAAUAACGACUGGUGUGUGUUUUGCACCGUGUUGUUGUCACUGCUGCCGCUCUGGAUGGAGCCUUCGGCGAUUUCGUGUCGGCCCUUAAAAACCUUCAGCUGGUCGGAACCUGGGCAAGCGGAAAGCGCAUCCACGUGACACAAAUGUCCAACGACAGCACAUGCACGCAUUUCAUUCUUCGACAAAAAGACUCGAAACACAAAAUGCCGUGAAUCCCGAGCUGUGCUGCGCGGGACCCGUCCGGCUUCCGGCGAUGCGUCCCGCCACGCGGCUGGACGGCGGCGUUUGGUCUGGUCCGAGAGCGGCUUUAAUCAGUGUCGCCCGUCGGCGGGUAUCAGCGCGCCCACACAAGACGGCCGAUCCCACGGCUGCUCUGCUCAGCGCGGGGGAUGCGUGAGCGCAAUCUGAAAGCCGCUCCGCUAACGCAGACGGAGCAUCUCCAGAGGCCCGUUCCUGGGAGCAUAUCACUUCCCAUUCCAGCUCACGGGCCUGUUGUGUAAUUCAUCUUAAUUUAGGGGCAGGAGGUGGCGGAGGAGGGUGUUAUAUGCGGGGGCUGUCAGGUUGGACCUGCAUGCUUUUAAUAAAGAAGAAAAAGAGGGAGCUGAACACAAUCGCUCGUCAUCUUUGCAGAGGAGGAAUGAUUUACGGGGUCUUUUGGGAUCUUGAUGUAUGCAAAAGUUAUUUUAAGAUAUUAUGCCUGCCGCCUAUUCUGUUAGGGGGUUACACCUCCAUAGGCAAUGAUUAUAAACCCCCUAUUUAGUCUUUUUCUGUCUAGUUUAUUGCUUCAUAAAUCACUACUGGUUUUAUUGUAUUAUUUCCCCAAAGAAAAAGGAAACUAUAUUUGAAUCAGAGGUGCACGCUCGACUCUUUACGCUUAUUACCACAACAAAAGCUUUACAGCAAUAUUUUUAUAAUCAUACAUAACCUCCACAAAUGAUGAACAUCACCGCCAUGCGGCUUUAAUCGCGUGUUUGCAUUCGUCUCUCUUACAAAACUAAACGUUUCAGUCUCCCGAUUAAGUCGUCGCCAUUCUGCAGACAUGUGAACAGACGGAUGUGUGUGAGUUAUAUGAAGACGAGACAAAAGCACAUGGAGGUCAGUGACCUGCCGAGACCAACGCCACCCCGGGGACUGAAGUCCAACUGGUGUUUCUCUUCGUAAUUGCUGCGGUUCUGGGAAAACGAACACAACGUGUUGUCAUCAGGUCGUCGCAAUGACUCACGGCUGACGGAGAGAGCAAACGGGUGCUAAUGAGCACAAAUACAGGCUUCUUUUUUUGAAACGUCUGCGUCUGGUGAAACUGGCCGAGGGUCACAUGCUCCCGCUUCAGGAUCGUGAAACACCAAGCGGCGCGGCGCUCGCCGCGAUGGUGCACGUUUGCCUCGAUGUGAUACGCAGCACCUGUCGUGUGGGGAAUAUUAACUUUCUCCUCGGCCCGCGUCUCUUCCCGCCUGUCCUCCUGUCCUCCCGCCAUGCGUCUCUGCCUCCUCCUUUCAUCUCUCGUCUGCACCACCCGUCUGGUCUGCCACCAUCUUGGGCGAAUGCAGCGACGCUCACGCCGCCGCCGAGAGGACAGGUGAGCGUGUCAGAUAGCCGCACGCUGGGAGAUUUAUGCGUGUGUACGCGGCGCCUCGACACCGGAGAACGGGCUCAGUAAAUAACAGGAAGCAGCCUUUCCCUUGUGAGCACUGUUGUCUUGAGAUGACGCCACCUUGGUUUUCUGCAACAGCCGACGCAGGGAGAGAGAUUCGAUUUCCCGUCGGCACGCAUUGGAAACACGCAAACGCCCUGAAUCCUCUCCAAAGGUGUGACGCGAGGCCACGUAAGUCAGGCCCGCACGUCCCGUCCCCACACUGCGGACCGCUAUCGAUCCUCGCAGACAGCUCCGGCACAAUCGGUUCGAAUCAUUGAGGUUAGAAGCCGCUUGAUUAUCUGCCAUCUGAUUGGUGCGUGUGCAGUAAAAGCCUUGGCUUCAUUUAAGUGUUGCAUAUCAUCUUACUUAACGGUGUCUAAGGGGAACAGACAGUUUAGACCAAUAAAUGUGAUGUAAAUCUUCUUCUAUCUGCCAUGCUGGGGGAAGGUUGGAUGCAUCAUGUAUCACGUUUUACGGUAUUACUGUAUAUUCACCACUACAAACACUACACCGUGUUUCACAAUAACACGUAACCCUCUGCAUGUUACUGGGAACAGUCAACAGACACCAUGUGUGCACACGAUAGUAAAACUGUAACGUUCCAGUGAAGUUAAUGGUCCAGACAUCAAGCGAAGGCGUGCAGAGUCUCACCGGUGGAACGUUUCACACCAGGUUUCUCCACCAAACCCCCUUGCAAGGCUUUUGCCCGCCGCUCGUUGUCCAGACCUCUGAUAAACGAUGUUGCUCCUCUUGGACAGCACACCGGCCCGCUCUCAUCCCUUUGUGUGGGGAAAAUCAAUAAAAAGGAAACACCUAAAACCCUCCUCCGCUGUCAUGGCGCCGAGGGGCGGGACCUCUGAGGGCAGCGGGGGGCCCCGGUCCGCCUCCACUUCACGUGCCAACCAGACCGGCACGUGUCACCCGUGGGACGUGUUGUUUAGCAGGACUGCUGGCGCCCCUCGACGCGCCGCCACCGCCGCCGCCGGACGCCGGAAAGGGAGGAGGUGUUUCCUCACCGGCCGCGCUCCAACAAAAAAGAGACACACAACGGCUGUGGAGGGUCGUGCCAAGCUUCCCUGUGCUGUGAUGUUAAUAACAGUAGCAGAAGGGAUCACAUCAGUCGGUAUCUCCAGCUUGUAGUUUCUGCUGCGCCUGCAGCCACCAAGGCUGAUCGGUGAUGAUGAGCGGAACCAGAUAGCAAAGCACAGCAUCACGGUCAUAGUUGGCGUAUGAAUAAAGAUUGUUUGUGCGGGGCUUUCACGCGCUGUCUGAUUGGUUGCGUGAAGGGCAAGGCUCCGCCCACAUGCAGCAGGCGAAGAAUCUCACUGAUGGCGUGUUACUGCUCCGGUGACGUUCAACUUAAUUUAAUCACGGAGGCUUUUGUUGAUUACGUUUUGUCUCUUAUCAAGUUAUUGUUGUUGUGUGAGCAGGAUAAUAGACAGCACGUCACUGUAAUGGUCUUUACAGCAGGCCUGAAGACAUUUUAACCAUUAGUUUCAAUUUGCAAACAAUUGUUACUUUAUUAAUUCAUUCCUUGUGUUUCUACACCAGCCACCAUUUAUGGGAAUAGUUAUAGUUGAAGACACAUCCGUUAAUAAAUGCUUAAUUAAUCAUUAUUUAAUACAAUAUAUGGCCUAAAUACUGGGAAUUAAAACCCUUUUGUCAAAGUUUUGGUCACAUUAAGAACAGUGUUUGAGAUUUAUACACAGAAAUAGGAUCCUCACACGCUGUUCCUUCAGUAUUUCACUCCAGUUUAAGUGCAAACUAUCUCCAGGCUCCUUAUUGAGAUAAAACCUUUUCAAGGCCCACUUGCUCAUUUGCAAAAGAGUCAAUGAGGGGGGGGGGGGGGGGGGAAUUGGUUAAUUGAUUGAAUUAAAAAUCCAACUUGAAUAGGUUGCAACUCGGAAGCGACGAGUGCUUCAGCGUCGCUUCUUUGGCUGCUCCAUUAAGUUCAAUAGCAACCAUUAGCCUCUGGAAAUCAGCAAAUCCGGAUAGACAGGAGGCGUAAUAAUUGUAAAACGGGAAUAUUCCUCAUUUUAGAUUAACUGUCGCAUCUUAUUGCACAGAAGUCCCACGUUUCCGUUCCGCAGUCAUCGAUGUCUGACUCCAAUCGACAGGAGCUUAACCAGAGAGCAGCGUUAUUCCACCGCCAGUCGCAGCUCACGCCCGUGUUCACGUUUCUGACACUCUUCGUUCUCUCAUUCCAGCCCCCCCUCCACUAACCCCCCUGUAAUUCCCUCACACCUCGCAGCACUCAGCCCCUCAUGGAUCCCGUCCCUCCUCUCAGCAGGAAGGAUGCCAGGGUUUAUGGCAAGGAAGGUGGCGGUUGAAAAGGACCCCCCCCUCCCCUUCCCUUCACACCCCCCAAACAACAAAAAGAAGCUAACACAUGAAUUCAUCACGCAGGCUGCCAGUCACACCACGCGUACAGUCAGGCGCGUGAAGCGAGAGCAAAUGAGCAGCCUGCGUGUGACUCGUGGCUGUCGGAGAGCUGCUGUCCACUAUCCUCCGAUUAGCAUCGUUUUCACCGGAUCUGCAGGAACUACGUGUCUGUUAUUAACCCGAGGAUCAGUCGGCCCUUUAUUCCGCCCAUGCGCGGCUUUUUUACACCAUGCAACUGUUGUGUGAUGUGUUGCAUCGAGGAGACUACGUUGAGUGUUUUGGCUCGACUCGAGACGUUGUCAUUCCUCGCCGGGUGGAGCGAGGCUUCUGUGCACCGGCCGGCGCGGCUUCACAGCUCGCUGCGGCCCGUCGCACUCAUUGCACGCGAUGAGCGGCGACGAUAAAGGAGCCAGUUUGCCACAAGCGCCGAGCUGCUCUCUUUUCUUUAGCCUCCAAUCAAAAGAGGGCAGCAAACGCCUGCUGGUUGCGGACCGGUGACACAACGACUCACUCACUGACCCGAGGUCACUGCUGCACAAGGCGGCGCCUCACCUCCACCAUGGGAAGGAGGUCCGCGAGGAGCGUUUCCCCUCACGUGCUCAAACUGGUUCAGGAAGCUGUUCUGGAGAACUUUCCCACACUGAAGUAAUUCACACACCCGCAUCGACCCGCGAAGGCUUUCACACCCGCUGGUGUUUAUAGAAAGAACUCUUUCCAUCUCUCUCCCUGUGGUUUGGAUGCGUCGACAAGCUGCACGCCAGAUGUUUCCACAACAACGCACAAGAACUGUGCUCAGACGGAGGGGGAGGGAAUAACCUCAGAGAAAAAUAGGUUUCAUUUAGAAUGAUUUUUUUCUCUGCAGUAUUCUCACAGCAAAACUUUGGAUUAUCUGCGUCGAUCCGGAUCGCUGCGUUCGAGUUCUCCGCGCCUGCACGUGUACAGUAGGUGGUUUCUAAAAACACCAAAAUGUGCCAUUUAUUGUAAAUGCACGAACUGACCUGUGACAAAUAGAGCUGUCACCAUCACUGCCGCUCAGGAACAACUGUACCUGCCGCUGUGCAGUAAACCGCUUGGGUGACUGCAGGGAAACAGACACACGCUGUCAGGGAGCACAUGACUCAUUUGCAUUUUUCCUCGGCAUUGAUAUUACAAUCACACACUUAAUGGCAGGUUGUUUGAAAUGUUUCUUUAGGAAAGCCUGAAGCGUAAAUAGUCUUUGAACACAGGAGAUCAAUUGUCUCCGAUGAUCAAAAAGUACAGUUUUCCCUUUGAAGCUUGAGGCCGUUCUGCUGAAGGCUCCCGUAUCAAACAUUGCUGAUUCAGUGACAUUUCAUAAAGCCCCGGCUAUAAUAUUAUUCACCAUCUCCUCUGAAGAAAGGCAAAGAAUCACAGGGACAGAAUCUCACAAACCGGGAAGUACGGUGGAGGCCGGCGAUGAAACGUGACGCACAUGCGAUUUGAUUC